This 467-nucleotide ribosomal RNA is filed under the name Oxalobacter formigenes. RNAcentral describes it as "bacterial SSU rRNA". It matches the Rfam family "Bacterial small subunit ribosomal RNA", at positions 337 to 796 of the family's 1533-position model. Lineage: Bacteria; Pseudomonadati; Pseudomonadota; Betaproteobacteria; Burkholderiales; Oxalobacteraceae. The record is from RNAcentral.
UCCUACGGGAGGCAGCAGUGGGGAAUUUUGGACAAUGGGGGGAACCCUGAUCCAGCAAUGCCGCGUGAGUGAAGAAGGCCUUCGGGUUGUAAAGCUCUUUUGUCAGGGAAGAAAAGGACUGGGCUAAUACCCUGGUUUCAUGACGGUACCUGAAGAAUAAGCACCGGCUAACUACGUGCCAGCAGCCGCGGUAAUACGUAGGGUGCGAGCGUUAAUCGGAAUUACUGGGCGUAAAGCGUGCGCAGGCGGUUGUGUAAGACAGAUGUGAAAUGCCCGGGCUUAACCUGGGAAUUGCAUUUGUGACUGCACGGCUAGAGUGUGUCAGAGGGGGGUAGAAUUCCACGUGUAGCAGUGAAAUGCGUAGAUAUGUGGAGGAAUACCGAUGGCGAAGGCAGCCCCCUGGGAUAACACUGACGCUCAUGCACGAAAGCGUGGGGAGCAAACAGGAUUAGAUACCCUGGUAGUCC